GUUCAUAAUACAUAUUAUAAUAAUAUAUAAACGAUAAAAACAUGUAAAAAAUUAAUAUGUUGAAAAGAAUUAAAAUAUAAAUUACAUUUCAAGUAAAUAUGAAGAACUUUGAACUUGGUCUUUGCUGGCUCUUAUUUCUUCUAAUACAGGUUGUAAGCGCUUUUGCCUGUAAGCGAAAAUCAUCCUGCCGUCCCCCACGUUGUCCCGGCGGUUGCAAGCCCAAGUACUGGUGAACGACAAAAACUUCGUUUGAAUUUAUUAAUUUACAGAAUAAUGGUAUUUUCACUGCUAUGGCGUUACGUGUGGUGGGUGGCGUGGUGCGCGGCGUGUCUGGUUGCGGGGACGAGAGGCUGUAAGAAAAAAACAAUCUGUCGUCCACCUCCCGGUGGCCGACCUGGCUGUGGAGGGAG
Molecule: long non-coding RNA, 410 nt
Organism: Nymphalis io (European peacock)
Lineage: Eukaryota; Metazoa; Arthropoda; Insecta; Lepidoptera; Nymphalidae
Exons: 3
Source: RefSeq, a predicted model, not a curated record